GUUGACCUCGGAUCAAGUAGGACUACCCGC
This 30-nucleotide ribosomal RNA is filed under the name Colletotrichum salicis. RNAcentral describes it as "partial 28S ribosomal RNA". The record is from RNAcentral. Lineage: Eukaryota; Fungi; Ascomycota; Sordariomycetes; Glomerellales; Glomerellaceae.